UUCCGGUUGAUCCUGCCGGAGGCGACCGCUAUUGGAGUUCGAUUAAGCCAUGCGAGUCGCGAGUCUUAGGGACUCGGCGUACCGCUCAGUAACACGUGGGUAACCUGCCCUAUGCUGGGGGAUAACCUCGGGAAACUGAGAAUAAUACCCCAUAGUUCACCACGCCUGGAACGGUGGGUGGACCAAAGCUCCGGCGGCAUAGGAUGGGCCUGCGGCGUAUCAGGUUGUAGGGGGUGUAAUGUACCCUCUAGCCCUCUACGCGUACGGGUGUUGAGAGACAUCGCCCGGAGAUGGAUUCUGAGACACGAAUCCAGACCCUACGGGGUGCAGCAGGCGCGAAAACUUGGCAAUGCGAGAAAUCGUGACCAGGGAACUCCAAGUGCAUCGGGUAAGACCGAUGCUUUUCUUGACUCUUCAAAGGUCUUGGAAUAAGGGGUGGGUAAGGACGGUGCCAGCCGCCGCGGUAAUACCGGCGCCCCAAGUGGUAGUCGCUUUUAUUGGGCCUAAAACGUCCGUAGCCGGUCUGGUACAUUCGUGGGUAAAUCAACCAGCUCAACUGGUUGAAUUCUGCGAGCACGGCCAGACUUGGGACCGGGAGAGGUGUGGGGUACUCUCAGGGUAGGGGUAAAAUCCUGUCAUCCUGAGAGGACCACCUGUUGCGAAGGCGCCACACUAGAACGGAUCCGACGGUCAGGGACGAAGCCUAGGGGCACGAACCGGAUUAGAUACCCGGGUAGUCCUAGGUGUAAACGCUGUGGACUUGAUGUUGGGGGCGCUCCGAGCGCACUCAGUGUCGAAGCGAAGGUGAUAAGUCCACUGCCUGGGGAGUACGGUCGCAAGGCUGAAACUUAAAGGAAUUGGCGGGGGAGCACCGCAACCUGAGGAUUGUGCGGUUUAAUUGGAUUCAACGCCGG
RNAcentral lists this ribosomal RNA (914 nucleotides) under uncultured marine archaeon. RNAcentral's name for it is "bacterial SSU rRNA". It matches the Rfam family "Archaeal small subunit ribosomal RNA", at positions 1 to 921 of the family's 1478-position model. The record is from RNAcentral.